Molecule: long non-coding RNA, 1135 nt
Filed under: Homo sapiens (human)
Lineage: Eukaryota; Metazoa; Chordata; Mammalia; Primates; Hominidae
Description: novel transcript
Source: RNAcentral
AUCACCGCGUGGCGGAGCCCGUGUCCGGGCCAGUAUUUCUGCCUGUCACUUAUUAUCUGGUUGAGCUGGUGGCGGGAGUCCCGGCCCAUGUGUGUUACCAGAGGGAUGGUCUAGAGAAUGAAUCCAUCUGUCAGAGGCAUCCAAGAAGAAAGGCCUGGGCCAGGAUCACAUGGAAGACCCUGAAGACAGGAUCGGGUCUUGCCUGCCUGGAUUGAACAGAGACGCAGUGACCAGUCCCAUCUGCUCCCACCCUGCUGCCCUCUGAAUCGAGAGUUUGAGGCCAUGACCAGGGUAACGUUCAGCUGGUAGAGACAACACAACCCUGCUGGCUGUUUAAGCCAUGCUGGAGUGGUGCUCACAGGGUAACAAUUUUCAAGUGCUACGGAUGCAAUAGCUCAGCGACUGGCAGCGCAGCACGUACCUGCUGUCGUGGGAGGGAGGCUGCCUCACCAAGCUACCUGCUACUCAUGGGGGCGAUGGGCAUCAGGGUGGCCUGCCUGGAGGUGAGUUGCAGUUGGGAGAUUAGGAGGAAGGUAUGUUGCAGUUGGGAGAUUAGGAGGAAAUACUCACUCGGGAUAUUAAACUAGGCUCUGAACCCGUCUCCAGCGGCAGAUAUCUCCAGUAACUGGGCUGGCAUGUCCGUGCCCUGCGCUGCUCUCUUCUCUCAGCUUCCCUUUGCAACCAAGGCUGAUUCCCACAGUCAGUCUCUCCCCCAGAGAACAUGAAGGAAGAUGCCUGAGGGACAACAUUAACUUGUCAGGAACAGGGGCCUGGGAGGAGUGUGGAUGUGGGCUCAGGUACGGGCAUGCACCUUGAGUGUGUGCAUGUGGGGGUCAGUGUGCAAGCCUGCCGUGGUGUGUGUGGGUCCGUGGGGGUCCCCAUGUUCCCGGGUCUAUGUGGGUGGGGUGGUAUGCACUGUGUGUGUUUAGGGUGCUUGUGCAUGUGUGAGUGUGUACAUAUCUGCAUUCAUUCCUGUGUGUGUCUGCGUCUGUGUCUGUGUGUGUGUGUCUGUGUCUGUGGGUGUGUGUGUGUGUGUGUGUGGGUGUGUGUGUGUGUGUGUACCAUCAGCCCUCCAUAUCCACAGGUUCUGUAUCCUUGGAUUCAACCAACCAUGGAAUAAAAGUACUAACAAAAA